This 655-nucleotide long non-coding RNA is filed under the name Homo sapiens (human). RNAcentral describes it as "HSALNT0311114". Lineage: Eukaryota; Metazoa; Chordata; Mammalia; Primates; Hominidae. The record is from RNAcentral.
GUGGGAGGUGACUCUCUCAGGAGGUUGAAUAGGGUUAGAAAGACGGCAUGACUAUAUCUCUAAUGUAGACCUAAAGUGCUUCCUAGAGCUAGGGACCAGGAUUCUAAAUGAGACCUGAGGGAAUGGAGCUGUUGUUGACAAGAGCUGUUAGACAAACAGGACAUGGAGGAGGAUGCCCCGGGAAGCUUUUAGCUAGUGACUGAUAGAUGCAAGAAUAUGAAUGCCCAGCUCUUUUGCCUCCAGUAGAAAACUCUGAGGCUUGACUUACACACCAGAGCUGCCCUGCCAGGUCAGGCUGAGGCCACUCUUCGUGGGACUUUCCCUGAGAUCACAGCCUUCCUGUGUUGACUUCCUCCUCUUCCCUCUCCUGCUUCACACACACCCCUACUGGUCCCCCUGGAAGCAUAUUUUAAAAUAAAUUACUUGUAUAUGAAUCAUGAGUCCUGGUCUUGAGUUCUACUUCUGAGGAAGCUGAUCUAAAUUUUCCCACUCUCAUUUGCAUUUCAUAUAAACCUUGUGAAGUGUUAUUAUCCCCCUUUUGCAGAUGAAGAAACUGAGGCUCAAAAGGUAAUAAUGUAUCUGUAGCUUGUGACUUAAAUCCAGCUAUGUCUGACUCCAAUGCACUGAAUUCCCCGAAAAACAAUCAGCAUUUACA